This 254-nucleotide ribosomal RNA is filed under the name uncultured bacterium. Its description in RNAcentral is "partial 16S ribosomal RNA". It matches the Rfam family "Bacterial small subunit ribosomal RNA", at positions 524 to 776 of the family's 1533-position model. The record is from RNAcentral.
CACGUAGGGUGCGAGCGUUGUCCGGAAUUAUUGGGCGUAAAGAGCUCGUAGGCGGUGUGUCGCGUCGGCCGUGAAAACCUGCAGCUUAACUGUGGGCUUGCGGUCGAUACGGGCAUCACUGGAGUUCGGCAGGGGAGACUGGAAUUCCUGGUGUAGCGGUGAAAUGCGCAGAUAUCAGGAGGAACACCGGGGGCGAAGGCGGGUCUCUGGGCCGAUACUGACGCUGAGGAGCGAAAGCGUGGGGAGCGAACAGG